CGGCAACAGCUCAAAUUUGAAAUCUGGCCUCUUUGGGGUCCGAGUUGUAAUUUGGAGAGGAUACUUUUGAUGCGGUGCCUUCCGAGUUCCCUGGAACGGGACGCCAUAGAGGGUGAGAGCCCCGUCUGGUUGGAUGCCAAAUCUCUGUAAAGUUCCUUCGAC
RNAcentral lists this ribosomal RNA (162 nucleotides) under Fusarium sp. RNAcentral's name for it is "partial large subunit ribosomal RNA". It matches the Rfam family "Eukaryotic large subunit ribosomal RNA", at positions 99 to 261 of the family's 3401-position model. Lineage: Eukaryota; Fungi; Ascomycota; Sordariomycetes; Hypocreales; Nectriaceae. The record is from RNAcentral.